This 1223-nucleotide ribosomal RNA is filed under the name Ornithodoros furcosus. Its description in RNAcentral is "16S ribosomal RNA". The stretch from base 804 to 1140 matches the Rfam family "Archaeal large subunit ribosomal RNA", at positions 2153 to 2713 of the family's 2987-position model. Lineage: Eukaryota; Metazoa; Arthropoda; Arachnida; Ixodida; Argasidae. The record is from RNAcentral.
UUAAAAAGUGUAUUGUUAGUAGUGUAUUUUAGGUAAUUUUGAAAUUAUUUUUUGGGAAGAAUAUUUUGUACAAUAGUUUAUAGGUACCGCAAGGGAGAUUUGAAAAAUUGAAAAUUUUAUUAGGGAGAAGUUAGUAAAAUUGUACCUUUUGUAUAAGGGUUAAAUAAAAAUUAUUAUAGAUUUAAAUUUCCCGAAAAGUUUUGAGCUACUUAGAAAAUUUUGUAUAUUUCAUAAUGCAAAUAUAUUUUAUAGUAGGGAUGAAAUUUUACGCGUAAAAUUUGAUAUCUGGUUAAGUGUAAAGACUAUAUGUUUUUGUAUAGGAUUACAAAUAUUUUAAUUGUCUAUAUUUUUUGCUCUUAGGGAUAAGCUUGAGAGCUUGACAUAAAUUAGGUUUUGACAGAGAUAUAAGGUUUAAAAUUUACUUUUUUGUAAUAAAAGAGUUUUUGGUGAAAAAAAAUUGUUUUUUUUUUGAUGUUAUAUUUAAUUUUUGUGUAAAAGUGUUUAUGUUUGAAUGAGUAUAAGUUAAGUUGAAAUUUGUGUUUAAAGUUUUAUGUAAUAAAGGUAUUAAAAAAAGAAGAACUCGGCAAAAGUUUUUUCUGAAUGUUUAUCAAAAACAUUGUAUUUUGAGGUGAUAAAAUAUAAAACCUGCUCAAUGAAGGUUAAAUUGCUGUGGUAUUAUGACUAUACGAAGGUAUUGAAAUAAGGCUUUAAAUGGGUACUAAGAGAAUGGUUUAACAGAGAUUAACUUUUUUUUUUUUUAAAAUAAAAUUUAAUAUAAAAAUGAAAAAGUUUUUAUGAAAUUUUGGGACAAGAAGACCCUAUGAAUUUUUUUAGAACUAGUUCUUAAUAAAUUUUUAAGAAAAAAGGAAAGAGUUUUGAUUGGUUGGGGUGACUUUUAAAGAUUGAAUAUCUUUAAAACUAUUUAAAUUGGUUCCAAUAUUAUUGAUUAAUUGAAAAAAAUACUCUAGGGAUAACAGCGUUAUUACUUUGGAUAGUUCCUAUAGAUAAGGUAGAUUGCGACCUCGAUGUUGGAUUAAGAUUCUUUUAUAAUGCAGAAGUUAUAAAAAGAAGUUUGCUCAACUUUUAAAAUCUUACAUGAUCUGAGUUCAGACCGGCGUGAGCCAGGUUGGUUUCUAUCUAUAUUAGUCUAGAUUGUCUUUAUAGUACGAAAGGAUUUAAAGGCUUGAAAUUUUUAAGAAAUUUAGAAGAAAAUUAUUUUAAUU